This 325-nucleotide long non-coding RNA is filed under the name Mustela putorius furo (domestic ferret). Its description in RNAcentral is "lncRNA (ENSMPUG00000028747.1)". Lineage: Eukaryota; Metazoa; Chordata; Mammalia; Carnivora; Mustelidae. The record is from RNAcentral.
GAGUAGCCCUUGCUUCUAGUUCAUGGUUGACCACAGAUACCUGAAACCACAGAAAGCAAAACCAUGGAUAAGGGAGGACUACUAUACUGACUUCCAUGGGCCUGUGGUCCCACAUGUUUGGAUUGGGGACCCCUGCCGAGGUACCGAAUACCGCGAAGGUACAGAAGUCACAGGAAAAAGCCAUUUCCCCGACUCUCAUUGUGGAUCACGUGCUGUGCUGCUGAGAAUGCUAAAGCCUGUCACACCCGAAAACAGCAUUUUCUACUGGAAUUUGCAACCGGAUGUCCCAUUUGGCCCCCUUCCUGCUAAGGAAACCCCUUGCUGA